Long non-coding RNA from Papaver somniferum (opium poppy), 1083 nucleotides. RefSeq lists it as uncharacterized. The transcript is spliced from 4 exons. The record is from RefSeq and is a predicted model, not a curated record. NCBI's taxonomy places the organism in Eukaryota, Viridiplantae, Streptophyta, Magnoliopsida, Ranunculales, Papaveraceae.
UCAGAUCAAAAGAGAAAAACCAGAUCGAAAAAAAGAGAAAUCAUAAAAGAGAGAGAGAGAGGCGAUUCCAGAAUUGGAGAUAUUUUGUUCAUCUCGAUUCAAUUUAAAAGACCUAUAGUUUCUCUCGAUUCAUCAUUGAAAAGAAGAAAGCAUUUUAGGUUUUGGUUCAUCUCGAUUCAUCUCCAUUAGUUGUUGCUUGAAAAAAUUAUAAGAUCUACAAUUUCAUUUCUCGAUUCUCAGAGAACAAAGGAAAAAAACGGAACCUAAACUGAUACAUUUCUAGCAUCGUACUUUAUGGAUCCUCACCUGCAAGUGCUAGAGAUAAUUUUGAUUACUUUAUGAAACUUCUUCUCAUGGUUGAUAACGACUUACUUGGACGAGUAUAUAUUUGGUUGGUUCUUUGAAGAAAGGGAGGCAAUUAUUUCUGCAAGUGAGUUUCAUUUUAUAAUGCAAGGCCUUAUAUAGAUAGAAAGCUAUAUGUAGUCUUAUCUGAUUAUGGUAUGCUGCAAAGAAAAUUAUGGACAACAAAAAUGUGGAUUCUGGUGAAGACGGUCCAGUUGAGUCUGUCAGUGAUGAUGAAGACGACGAUAAGGAAAUAUUGGAUCCUGAUUUUGAAGGCUCUGAUGCUGAUACUCGGACAGGGAAAGUAGUUUAUCAACAGAUGAAAACGAUGGUGAUGUUAAUAAUGUUUUAAUUGGAAGGAAGAACCGUAUAAGAUUUAAGUUGUGGAUGAAGGUUAGAGAUCUCUAUAAAGAGAUUGUUCCCAUGGACUUGUUGUAUAUGAUGUAGAGUUUAUUUUUGAAGCUGCUCAGAUCUUUGCAUCAUUCAAUGAUAAAAUUAUUAUGUGUACGUGUCCAGUCUCAUUAAUGUAGUCUCAUUAAUGUAUUGUCUGUUUCGUGAGUAUGGAUGUUGAAUUCUCUGGUCUUUUGUAGAUGUGUACAUAGUUGUACACCAUUGUCCCAUCUUAUUGAUAUAUUGCAUGUUAUGUGUAAGUAUUGGAAUUGCACUUAUUUAACUAAUCCAUGUUUCAACAUCAUGAGUUUAAAAACAUUGAAUCUUAGAAAAUGCUUUUUCAGCAUAAAA